Gasterosteus aculeatus aculeatus (three-spined stickleback) is the source of this 2429-nucleotide non-coding RNA. Lineage: Eukaryota; Metazoa; Chordata; Actinopteri; Perciformes; Gasterosteidae. The record is from RefSeq and is a predicted model, not a curated record.
ACGUGACUCUCUAGGUCGUCUUCAACAAAACACGUGACUCCACCUGUUGUUCUGGAGGUGAAUCUCUCUGCAACACACGCACGACUUUACAACCAGGAAGUGAAACCAGUGCGUCGACACGACGUAAAGACGCAGCCUUUAUUUUUAGGGCCUGAGCUGACUGAAAGUCGGGCGGAGCUCUAUUGUGUUUCAAAGAAUUAUUAUUAUUAUUUUGCCACUUCAAUCGGACUUUUGAGGCCUUUCCCAUAUUCAAAAACUCUUAAAAUUUGGCGUGCACAUCAGAAGUGCGAAAAAUGUUGAUAUAUUUGGGGUCGUGCAUUUAAGGAUAAAAAAUGGCUCUACAGCGCCCCCUUUUUUGACUUGACAUUUUGCACACAGGUGCUCCAGGAUAUGCUCUUCAAAAAAAGUCAAUCAUGGUAUGCAAACUAGAUUUUCCGCCAUCUAGAAUUUUGUGAAAAACACAUUUUUGCAAACUCCUCCCAGACCCUUGGUCCGAUUUUCACGAAAUUCUCAGGGAAUGAAUAUUGGCCCAAUGCCAUCGGAGGUUAUUAAAAGCCUGUUGAUAUCUUAUUUUUUUAUCAAAGUUACGGACCAAUGAAAUUUGUAAGGGGUGUGGUCUAAGAGUUAAAGACCUAUAACUUGAAAAGUAGUCAUAGGUUUUCCUCACCAGAUCUCCUAGGAUAUGUUCACAUUGAGUCCCUGAGCCUGCUCUGAUUUUCACAACAUUUGAACAUUAGCGGGCGCUGCAGUUACUAAACUUGGAAAACCUCAAAUUUGUGAAUAAAAGACAUAAAAGAAAAAUAGUUCACUGUCAAUAUUGGGAGCUUUGUUUCCUUGACAACACUUUGCAUGAAAGUGCACGCAGAUAUUUCGGUAACUUGGCAAACUCAAAAACUCUUGAAAUGUGAUGUCAGUGGUAAUAACAUUACAGAGCCGAUGUGGAGUUUUUGCUCAAAAGUAGUAAAUUGUCUUCAUAGCGCCCCCUGGCAGUUUUCAACUAAAUAGCCCCUGUGUGACCUACAUGUAUGAGGGUUUUUGGACAUAUAUAGAACAGGGAGAUUUAAAAUAAAGUAUCUUGGGACCAUGCUCUAAAAUGAACAGGAAGUCAGUUAUAACUUUUUUUGUGUCAAUAUUCCCUCUCAUUUUCUGUACUUUCUAGACGCUGUAGUUUGACAAACUUCUCCCUGGGACUUUGUCACAGCCACUUCAAAUUCUGACAAAACAAUCCCAAGGCCUUGCUGAUAAAAGUUAUCAAAAACUUUUUGUUGCUUCAAGGUCAAAACGGAGAUCCCUUUGAGACUAAAUGUGCUCCAAUCUUUACCAAAUUUAAAACACAUUUACAGUCAUAGAUGUAGUUACUUCAUAUGAUUUCAAUGCUUACAAAUAGCAUUUUGGCUCGAUAGCGCCCCCUACACAUGUUCAUAAAGCAGCCCCAGCAACCACUGGGAUCUAGGAGCACUCACCUGGAGGCAUCAGCUUUGAUUUUUCUUCCCUAUCAGCAGACUUUACAAGUUAAUACUUCUGCAGGAACCUCAGCGUGACGUCGACAGCCGACUCUCCCUGACUCCAACAUCACUGACAACACCAUCCUGUAGAUACACGCUCUACAACAUCAGGAGAACACGUCCUCUUCUCACUCAGAAGUACUAAGCAGUUUGUCCUUCAGAGGAUCGUGCACCCUCAGAUGAAGGAGUCUGGACAGAGCACAUCCUCAACAUGCUCGUCACUUGCAUAGACUUUAUUGCUAUUUUGAGUUCAUUUUAAAAAAUGUAUUUGCACUUUCUCUUUACUUUUAAACACAUUUUUGCACUUACGUUUUGUAUUACUAUUUAAUGUAUUUUUCACUAGCAAAGACCCCGCCAUUCACUGAAGGCGUUUAACAUGAUGAAUGUGUCGUUGAUUUAUUUCGUCUGGUCGGUCGGAUGGGUUGUGGGGAACUACGUGGGAGGAUCCGCCGUGCGCCUGGGGCACGGCGAACACCUUCAGGGCACCUACAAAACCUUCAGGGCCCAACGAACACCUUCAGGGCCCAACGAAAACCUUCAGGGCCCUACGAAAACCUUCAGGGCCCUACCAAAUGCUGGAAAAAGAGGGAGUAAAAAGAAAAGAAAAAGGUGUUGGGAGGGUGGGGUUUUUAGGAUGCGUACUCGAGAACGAGAAGAGUGGGUUGAGUUGUUGGAGGCGUGGUCUUGCUCCCCAAAUUACGCUAAUUAGCUUAUCUUAGCUUAACUUGUUACUUCAAAUUCCAACGUGUUGAGUAAUCAUUUUAAUUUGCUAUUGUAGGGGACUCACAGGAACAAAUUCACAGGGCCUUUCAAGAGAAAGCGGCAUAAACAUGGUGACAUGGGGGGUAAAAAGGGAGCAGGAAGUGAUGUGUGAGAGAUGGCGUUGGAUGUAAAUAAACAGCCACAUGUUGAAGCCAAAAGGAA